Molecule: ribosomal RNA, 432 nt
Filed under: Triticum aestivum (bread wheat)
Lineage: Eukaryota; Viridiplantae; Streptophyta; Magnoliopsida; Poales; Poaceae
Description: partial small subunit ribosomal RNA
Source: RNAcentral
AUGGCGUGCUCCGGUCGGCGCGUGGGCGUCCGGUGCAGCGGCACGACACCGCCGGGGUUCCCUCCGGGGCCGACGCCGCCGGGGUUCCCCGCGGUGCCGUCGCCCGAGGAGGUGCCGGGCACGGCCCGCCCGCCAGAGGAGAUGCCGGGCACGGCGAGGCCGCCGCAGGAGAUGCCGGGCAUCGACAUGCCGCCGGAGUUCAACGCGCCCCCGGGCGUGGACGUGCCGAUGCCGGGCGCGCCCGUGCCGGGCACGCCUCCCAGCCCGGAGCAGCCGGGGCCGUUCAUCCCGUCGCCGCCGAGGCCGGAGAUCCCGGCCGUGCCGCCGAACCCCGACGUGAUCCCGCCGCCGCCGCCGGAGGUGGACCCGCCGCGCGCUCCGCCGGAGGUCGUCCCGCCGCAGACGUCCGAUGUCCCGCCUCCCUUUGUGUGA